This is a non-coding RNA of Sesamum indicum (sesame), 1118 nucleotides long. The record is from RefSeq and is a predicted model, not a curated record. Lineage: Eukaryota; Viridiplantae; Streptophyta; Magnoliopsida; Lamiales; Pedaliaceae.
AACACGAUAUUAAUAUAAGGAGAUAAGAUUUUAAUAGUACAACUUGUUCAUUAUAAAACAAUUAACGUACUAUGCAAACGAUCAUAGCUAUAGGUCAACAGUGUCUGGUUGAGCUCACCGGUCUUCACGAGGGUUUAUUACACAUAUCUUCUGCAACUCAGACAGGAGUUGCAGAUUUACUUUCAGUCUCCACCUAAUUAUAGGUGGACAGAAAUGAGUUCCCAAUUUCAGAUGCUCCAUUUAGCAGAAAGUGUCCAGAAGGAUGGAGGUGGGAAAUUGCUUAUUGGUCGGAGAAUCCCCGUUUUUGGUAUGGGCGGUAUAGGAAAUUUUACUCUUAUUAAGUUAUCAACACGGAGAAAGAACAUCGCGUGCAAUGUUACUGCAGAAUUGACAAACUUUAUAAGCAUGCGUAUGAGGCUGAUACCCUCAGUAAUAUGACGCGCUUAGAGAUGCUAAGAGAUAGUAUAUGAAACUAUUGGCCUGUUGCAACAUUUGGAGGACCACAAGUCGUGAACAACAACUUGAAGUACUGGGUUUGAGUUAUAAUCAUCUUUUGUGACUUCAAGGCAUGCUUCCUCCAUCAUAACAUCUCUUAGCAUAGCUACUGUAUAAAGAUUAGAUUUGCGUUGACGAAUUAUGAUAUAAAGAACCCUAAAAAUAUACCUUCAGAAUGACAACACCCAAAAAAUGAAGGAAGAAUGUAUAGAAUAUUUACAUCAAUGUGGAAUUGAAGAGAGAAUAGAAAUUAAGGUAAUGUACAGAUUAGGAACAAUGCACCAGAAGCUGAAGAUGGUUGCAGUUGAUUUUUGUGGCUUUCAGCUGGGGACAUGGAAGGCUGUUCAUGGACAGAGUUAAUCAUUGUUCAUGAUUUUAUGAUUCUGCUCAAAUGUGAUGAGGUUGACAAUUAAAGAAUUUUUUUUGUCUGAGUCCUAUCUAUUUGUUUUUGUCUACUUUGGUUGUGAUUUUCAGUCUUGAUCACGUAUACUUAUAAUUUGGUUUAGAGUCAUGCGGUCUAUGUUUAGUAGGUGAUGAGGGUUCAAAUGAUUAUUUGGAAUGAUAAAUUAAUUAGUUGGUAAUUAGCAUACCAUGUUUAGUAAAUGGUUUAAGAUGAUACAGAC